RNAcentral lists this ribosomal RNA (419 nucleotides) under bacterium. RNAcentral describes it as "partial 16S ribosomal RNA". It matches the Rfam family "Bacterial small subunit ribosomal RNA", at positions 355 to 776 of the family's 1533-position model. The record is from RNAcentral.
UGGGGGAUAUUGCACAAUGGGCGAAAGCCUGAUGCAGCGACGCCGCGUGGGGGAUGAAGGCCUUCGGGUUGUAAACUUCUUUUGCUCUGAACAAGGCGCACCAUGGGGUGUGUUGAGUGUAGGGGUUGAUUAGCGCCGGCUAACUACGUGCCAGCAGCCGCGGUAAUACGUAGGGCGCGAGCGUUGUCCGGAAUUAUUGGGCGUAAAGGGCUUGUAGGUGGCUGGUUGGGUCUGUCGUGAAAGCUCAUGGCUUAACUGUGGGUUUGCGGUGGGUACGGGCUGGCUUGAGUGCAGUAGGGGAGGCUGGAAGUCCUGGUGUAGCGGUGGAAUGCGCAGAUAUCAGGAGGAAUACCGGUGGCGAAGGCGGGUCUCUGGGCUGUUACUGACACUGAGGAGCGAAAGCAUGGGGAGCGAACAGG